UAAAUAACAUUGAGACGGUCUGAUUCCAGGUUCACACGACCAAGCAAAAACGAAUAUCAUAAAUCAUAAGGAGACCACUUUUAUCUGAGCUUCAGGCAACGAGAAUAGUAGCUUCAGGCACCAUUCCAGUCAAGCCACCCGCAGAUGUAUUUUAGCUCAACAGUUUCCUGACCAUAAAGAGAGAGAAUAUCAACCCGUCAGGAGUAUAUUCAAAGAGAAAACCAAUAGAUAUGAUUGCAGACAACAUGAACUAUUUAAAUUGCUUAAUAGUAAAAGUAGUCAUACCUCCUGUCACUCUUUCAUCACUAUAUGAGAAUUAACCUGGGAUGGUUGGGAUGGCAAUUUGCUUCCUUCCUUAUGGCAGUUGCAGCAGCGUCAACUUCAGAAGAUGUGGCAUCCCCUUCUUGAAGACUAACUCGUACAUCUUUCAGAUAUGGGAGGUGCUCAAGACCUAAGUAGAACCCAUAGGCCUUUGCCAUUGAUACAGAGAACCACAGCUCAAGAUUCUCAAGCUUUGGCAGUGCCCCUUUCUCAAAUAGAAAGGCACUUGCACCUUCACCAAAACGUUCAUAAACGAACUCCUUCAAACAUUGGAAUCCCCUGGCUUGCAAAACAAGCCUGUCUUUAUGGACUGUGUUGGUAUAAAGUUUCAGAGAAAGUAAUGCGGACAGCUCACCAAGUACGCCAAGAACCUCCUCUGUUAUUACACUUAAAUUAAUGUCUAGGUAUGCAAGACUAGUGAGUGCUGGAGUAAUCCACUUUGGCAGUUUUGAGAAACAGUACGAAGUGCUCAUCUGAAAUCUUUGGAGACAAGAUGGAAGAGGAGACCAGGAAUCUAAUAACUCGAAUAGAUACGAAUUACCACCAUCUACACACACGGACUGGAGUUUGUAGAUGCCAAGCUUGCAUAGUGAGGAAUGAAACAUCUCUGCAUGACUCUUGUACCGUUCACCGUUCACCGUGUACCGUACAUGGAGUACCUCCAAAUUGAUCAGAUUCCCUAGCUCCUUCACUGCAUCUACUGAACUCAUGGUAAUACACAAUCCUGAGAUCUCCCUUAAGUUUGUCAUAUUUCCAAUCCCCAUUGGUAUCUUCCUCAGAUACAUGUCACUGAUCAUAUGUUGUAGUUUAGUGAGCUGAUCAAUUCUAGCCGGCAAGUCUCUGAUUCCUGUACUCCUUAAAUCUAGCGUCUCUAGAUCAUGCAGCAUCACAAUUCCAGAUGGUAACUCCGGUAUGUAUGUUUUAUUAAAGCCUAGGUACUUUAGCUGGAACAGGUUUUCCGUACCAUCCAUAUCAUACCCCGACACGCCCCGGCAACCAUCAAAAUCUAGUACACGUAAACUUUCAAACUUUGUAAGACUUGGCAAGUAUUUUACGCAACAUGAUGUUGUUAUUACAAGAGACCUGGCAUGGCUUAGAUCUUUCUUUGCCAAUUCAGAUGCAAGUUCCUGGUUAAUGUCCUGGAUCGACAAUCGUCGAAUAGAACACUGAGAAUUUCCCCAAAUAGUUUGGCUGCCGUUCACCACAGUGAUGAAAUUUUCUUCAAUGGAUUUUGAAAUAAUAAGUUCAAGCAUCAUGUCAUGAACUCGACAGGCUCGCACCUUCCCAUCAAAAUGAAUGUCCACUGGUUGGACCAGGCUUCUGUUGAUAAGCUCGUAAAAAUAACUUUCUGCAACCUCUUGACAGCUCCUCCCACGCUCUUCAGUAAUAAAGCCUUCCGCAAUCCAUUGCCUCACCAACCUUUCUCUGCCAAUCACGUAAUCCUCAGGGAAAUUACUUAAAUGCAACAAGACAGUCUUGAGGUGUGGUGGAAGAUCAUUAUAGCUCAAGGAUAGUAUGUUCUUCAUUCCUUCUAGACUCUGGUUUCUGUUCAAGUCAAAACCAAUGGAUCUUUUUACCUUCUCCCACUCUUCUUUGACACGUGGUCUGUUUGCUAGUAAACCAGAUAUACUGAUAAUUGCCAAUGGUAGGCCUCCACACUUUUUCAAGAUAGCUUUUGAGACUUCAAUAAACAUGUGAGGGCAGCAAUUCUCUAAGCCAAAGAUUCUUCUGAAAAUUAAUCUGUAACUCCAAUGAAAAUAAUUUAUAUAUGAAAAAGUAUCAGAAAAUUCAAGGAAUCUGAAUAUAAAUGACAUGUAGAUUAAUGAAUAAGUUAAUUCUUAUAAAUACUUUGUAGAUGGAAUUUGGAAAAUAUUUAAAUUUCACUAUAAAUGACAUGAUCAAACACUCUCUUAACUACAAACCAGCAACCUAACAUGUCAUCCCAUGCAUGUUAACAUCAAGUUGAUCUGAGCAUCAGUUCGAAUCAAUUAAAAUGGUAUCCGAGAAUACCUCGUUUGAAGUGGUAUUUGAACUUGAUUCAAAUCAACUUCAAACCUAAUACAUGUUAGCUAUAAUAAUUUACCAUCUUGUAUUCUCAUGCCAUGCUCAUGCAUCAUUUUGAUUGCAUAUGUUUGAUAUUGGCUGUUGUCAUUCCUUUCGGUAGGCUCCGCUCCCCCCGGAUUCCACCGAAUAUCCGUCUGACGGAUAUUGUCACUCCUGUGAGCAACAAGGCAAGCAACCAUUUUGAUCAUCCCGAUAAAUCCCAUGUUCUUGCUCCUGCACUUACUUAUUGCAUUAGGAUCAAAUGCUUCAAAUGCUUUUGCCACGUUAGUUGAACCCACUUCCUUUGCAUGACCUAUCAUUGUCACAGUAAAUAGCUAAACCUUGCAACCUAGCAUACCUGGUAGUUUGCUUGAGCCAUGAUGUGACGUAUCCUGCUAUGCAUGCUAUGCUUAGAGUUGUGUAUGGUCUGUCAUCUGCGAGAUGAACAGAAUUGAGAGAAUGUGUUCGGAAAGCAAAGGUUGCGUGUUGAACCUGAUUUGGUAAAGGUACCGGUGAAAGGCUGUGUAGGAGUACAUGGCGGGUUGUUUCAUUGGAACCGUCCUUAGGAACUGAGUUCCGUGUAUGUAAUCCAAGACUAGAUACUACCACACGUUGGGAUACUUAAUUGACCCUCUCGACUUAUUAAUCGCUUAGUAUUCGGUCCAGGAGUUGCAAGUAGUUUCUGAUGUUUAUAGUCAUGCUGGAGGCCGUGCAUAGCGCUGACCUGAGAGGUGGGAUGUGAUGCGGUAGGCAGUGGCACGGUGUACCAAGUGGCACCCGGAUGGUGGGCUUGGGAACCCUGCGCACAUCGUUUGAGGCCGUGACGGAAACCUCGGCCGGACUUCCGUACGGGUUACUCUCAGAUAGGCGAUAAACCUGGACUAGGUACUAGUGUGGUUAACGGUCGUGGCCGACUCCCUCGCUGGGCAUCCGCUUGAAGGUUGCCGAGGUGCAUGACGUGUACAUGGCGAUAAGUGGCGAGAGCGUGUGUGACGAAGUACACCCCUGCAGGGUUAUGAUCUAUUCGAAUAGCCGCGUCCGCGGAUAUGGACUACUUGGAGACAUAUGUUGUUCAUAGAUAACUUAAAUGGCUACUCAUAAAAUUGUCAAGAUAAGCGUGAGUGUCGCGGACGACUUUUCCGUAUGGAGACGGAAUGAUUCCACGAUGGUGUAUUGUUGUGGUGUUAGUGGACUCAUGUGCGAGAAAUCAAGUUGUCAAAAUUAUUUAAAAAUGCAAGUUGUCUAGCCACGAGUCAAAUGCUGGCUUUCCGCAUGAAACCCCACCAUACCUUAUUGAUACAUUGCAUGAGUAGUUAGUUAUCCUAAAGUCUUGCUGAGUACCUCCGUACUCAUGUUUGCUUAAUAAAUGUUGCAGAGGUUGCUAAUGACCCUAAUGGUGGGUUCUUCAUAGACAUCGACGACGACGAGUAGCUGGUGUCCCAGCUACGAUCUGGCCCUAGGUUGGGUCUGUAGUAUAGUCAGGCCAUGUGCCUUCUAGUUGCACAUGUCUGUACUCAGACAGUUUUAAAUACUUCCGCUGGCUUGUAACUGAAUGACUGCUAUUAUGGGUCGUGAGACCCUUACUGUGUAAUAUUAUGUGUGUGGCUCUUCCGAGCCUCUUAAAUAAAGAUUGUAUGUUUAUGGUUAUGUUGUGAUGCCAUCGAUGUAUCUAUACAUAUUGGUAUGCCAUGCGUACGUGUGUCGUACUUGAUAUGUAUGGGGUUCGACUACCUAGCCGUGAACUUUAGUAGCACUCCUUACAGGGAAAUGCCCCUUUGUGAUCCAACGAGCCAUGGUAGUUCGCUACUGCUCCGGACACAUUGGUUGACCGGCAUGUGUCCUUCUUAGCUGCUGUGUCAGUCUUCAUUGGGGAAAUGUCACGCGAUGUAAUGGAGUCCUUGUAGCUUGCUACGACUCGUCUACAUUCGCUGGUGACCGACACCUGCUUUGUUGGGUCAUGUAUGUUUGUCCUUGUGCGGUACGGUCACUUUGGUUUAUGACUAGACUUGUCGAUCCGGGUUCUUUGACAUUGGAAUGCUAGCGACACAAUUGCAUACGUGAGUCAAAAGACGCAAACGGUCCCGGCUAAGAUAAGGCUGCAGCCGUGGAGUUAACCGUGCGUGAGACCGCAAAGGAAUGCGAUGUGUUACAGGCUGGAUUCCUAUGGCUUAGGAUCGGGGUCCAGACACGAGAUCCCUCCAAAAAUGUACUAGGCAGUAACUAAUGUAGUAUUCCCUCAAAAAAAAGCAGUACUGGAUUACACGAGGACAAAAUUCCACACAAAUGUACUAGUAAUUCUUAAUGACAACAGUAAAUAAAAUUGAGACGGUCUAAUUCCAAAUUCACACGCCAAGCAAAAACGAAUAUCAUAAAUCAUAUGGAGACCACUUUUAUCUGUGCUUCAGGCAACGAGAAUAGUAGCUUCAGGCACCAUUCCAGUCAACCCACCCGCAAGUUGUAUUUUAGCUCAACAGUUUCCUGACCAUAAAGAGAAAACCAAUAGAUCUGAUUGCAGACAGCAUGAAUUAUCUAAAUUUCCUAAUAAUAGAAGUAGCCAUACCUCCCCUCAAUCUUUCAUGCUUUAGGGAGAGUUAACCUGGGAUGGUUGGGAUGGAGCCUUGCUUCCUUCAUUAUGGCAGUUGCAGCAGCGUCAACUUCAGAAGAUGUGGCACCCCGCUUCUGAAGAACAACUCGUACAUCUUUCAGAUAUGGGAGGUGCUCAAGACCUAAGUAGAACCCAUAGGCCUUUGCCAUUGAUACAGAGAACCACA
Molecule: long non-coding RNA, 5135 nt
Filed under: Hordeum vulgare
Lineage: Eukaryota; Viridiplantae; Streptophyta; Magnoliopsida; Poales; Poaceae
Description: long non-coding RNA (HVUL_LNC000115)
Source: RNAcentral